This 525-nucleotide ribosomal RNA is filed under the name Hansenula anomala. Its description in RNAcentral is "eukaryotic LSU rRNA". It matches the Rfam family "Eukaryotic large subunit ribosomal RNA", at positions 88 to 627 of the family's 3401-position model. The record is from RNAcentral. Lineage: Eukaryota; Fungi; Ascomycota; Saccharomycetes; Phaffomycetales; Wickerhamomycetaceae.
GGCGAGUGAAGCGGCAAAAGCUCAAAUUUGAAAUCUGGUACCUUCGGUGCCCGAGUUGUAAUUUGGAGAGGGCAACUUUGGGGCCGUUCCUUGUCUAUGUUCCUUGGAACAGGACGUCAUAGAGGGUGAGAAUCCCGUGUGGCGAGGAGUGCGGUUCUUUGUAAAGUGCCUUCGAAGAGUCGAGUUGUUUGGGAAUGCAGCUCUAAGUGGGUGGUAAAUUCCAUCUAAAGCUAAAUAUUGGCGAGAGACCGAUAGCGAACAAGUACAGUGAUGGAAAGAUGAAAAGAACUUUGAAAAGAGAGUGAAAAAGUACGUGAAAUUGUUGAAAGGGAAGGGCAUUUGAUCAGACAUGGUGUUUUGUGCCCUCUGCUCCUUGUGGGUAGGGGAAUCUCGCAUUUCACUGGGCCAGCAUCAGUUUUGGUGGCAGGAUAAAUCCAUAGGAAUGUAGCUUGCCUCGGUAAGUAUUAUAGCCUGUGGGAAUACUGCCAGCUGGGACUGAGGACUGCGACGUAAGUCAAGGAUGCU